Molecule: ribosomal RNA, 253 nt
Filed under: uncultured bacterium
Lineage: Bacteria
Description: partial 16S ribosomal RNA
Rfam family: Bacterial small subunit ribosomal RNA
Source: RNAcentral
UACGUAGGGUGCAAGCGUUAAUCGGAAUUACUGGGCGUAAAGCGUGCGCAGGCGGUGAUGUAAGACAGAUGUGAAAUCCCCGGGCUCAACCUGGGAACUGCAUUUGUGACUGCAUCGCUGGAGUGCGGCAGAGGGGGAUGGAAUUCCGCGUGUAGCAGUGAAAUGCGUAGAUAUGCGGAGGACCACCGAUGGCGAAGGCAAUCCCCUGGGCCUGCACUGACGCUCAUGCACGAAAGCGUGGGGAGCAAACAGG